AGUGAACGCUGGCGGUAGGCCUAACACAUGCCAGUCGAACGGCAGCACAGGAGAGCUUGCUCUCUGGGUGGCGAGUGGCGGACGGGUGAGGAAUACAUCGGAAUCUGCUCAGUCGUGGGGGAUAACGUAGGGAAACUUACGCUAAUACCGCAUACGACCUUCGGGUGAAAGAGGGGGAUCGCAAGACCUCUCGCGAUUGGAUGAGCCGAUGUCGGAUUAGCUAGUUGGCGGGGUAAUGGCCCACCAAGGCGACGAUCCGUAGCUGGUCUGAGAGGAUGAUCAGCCACACUGGAACUGAGACACGGUCCAGACUCCUACGGGAGGCAGCAGUGGGGAAUAUUGGACAAUGGGCGCAAGCCUGAUCCAGCCAUACCGCGUGUGUGAAGAAGGCCUUCGGGUUGUAAAGCCCUUUUGUUGGGAAAGAAAUCUUUCAGGCUAAUACCCUGGGAGGAUGACGGUACCCAAAGAAUAAGCACCGGCUAACUUCGUG
Molecule: ribosomal RNA, 490 nt
Filed under: uncultured bacterium
Lineage: Bacteria
Description: partial 16S ribosomal RNA
Rfam family: Bacterial small subunit ribosomal RNA
Source: RNAcentral